AGUGAACGCUGGCGGUAGGCCUAACACAUGCAAGUCGAACGGCAGCACAGUAAGAGCUUGCUCUUACGGGUGGCGAGUGGCGGACGGGUGAGGAAUACAUCGGAAUCUACUUUUUCGUGGGGGAUAACGUAGGGAAACUUACGCUAAUACCGCAUACGACCUACGGGUGAAAGCAGGGGAUCUUCGGACCUUGCGCGAUUGAAUGAGCCGAUGUCGGAUUAGCUAGUUGGCGGGGUAAAGGCCCACCAAGGCGACGAUCCGUAGCUGGUCUGAGAGGAUGAUCGGCCACACGGGAACUGGAACACGGUCCAAACUCCUACGGAAGGCAGCAGUGGGGAAUAUUGGACAAUGAGCGCAAGCCGGAUCCAGCCAUACCGCGUGGGGGAAGAAGGCCUUCGGUUUGUAAAGCCCGUUUGUAGGGAAAGAAAAGCAGCAGGGUAAAACCCCGCUGUUCUGACGGUACCCAAAGAAUAAGCACCGGCUAACUUCGUG
This 492-nucleotide ribosomal RNA is filed under the name uncultured bacterium. Its description in RNAcentral is "partial 16S ribosomal RNA". It matches the Rfam family "Bacterial small subunit ribosomal RNA", at positions 29 to 507 of the family's 1533-position model. The record is from RNAcentral.